This 371-nucleotide ribosomal RNA is filed under the name uncultured bacterium. RNAcentral's name for it is "bacterial SSU rRNA". It matches the Rfam family "Bacterial small subunit ribosomal RNA", at positions 524 to 897 of the family's 1533-position model. The record is from RNAcentral.
UACGGAGGAUCCAAGCGUUAUCCGGAUUUAUUGGGUUUAAAGGGAGCGUAGGUUGACAUAUAAGUCAGCUGUGAAAGUUUACGGCUCAACCGUGAAAUUGCAGUUGAUACUGUAUGUCUUGAGUGUACAAGAGGUGGGCGGAAUUCGUGGUGUAGCGGUGAAAUGCUUAGAUAUCUCGAAGAACUCCAAUUGCGAAGGCAGCUCACUGGGGUACAACUGGCACUGAGGCUCGAAAGUGUGGGUAUCAAACAGGAUUAGAUACCCUGGUAGUCCACACAGUAAACGAUGAAUACUCGCUGUUUGCGAUAUACAGUAAGCGGCCAAGCGAAAGCAUUAAGUAUUCCACCUGGGGAGUACGCCGGCAACGGUGA